UGAUAACAUGGAAAUCUGGGUCUAUGCAAAAGAAUGAAAGAACACUAGAAAAGGCAAUCAUGCCGUGGUAGUGGCAGUGGCAGCAAGAAGAGCAGCAACCGCUGGGGAUCCCAGCACCUAAAACAGGGAAGAGAACAUUUCUCUAUGAUCGAAGCAGCUGUGGUCCCAAAAGGAUGAGAUAUUGUACUUUUUACAAACUGAAGGCAAGACCCUCCACCAACAAAAAGAUUCCAACUCACUUUGUUGCAGUAAUCACUUUAUUGCAGUGGUCUGGAACUGAACUCACAAUAUGUCUGAGGGAUGGCCUGGUUCCUGCCAUGUAAAUCAAAGAAGAGAGGGUCUGAUUCAGCCGCCUAGCCUGAGUCACCUGGAACCCAUUAGGAUACAGCAUCAUAAACACCUCCAUUUUCCCUUCGGAGAGAGACCAGACCCACUGAAGUUAAGCUACCUGCAUACGAGUUGAGUGUGAUCAGCUGUACUUAAUCUUUAAAUGUCCAACCCACAGAUAACCUUUGGUUUGCUUUGAUAACUACGAAAUAAAU
Molecule: long non-coding RNA, 542 nt
Organism: Eptesicus fuscus (big brown bat)
Lineage: Eukaryota; Metazoa; Chordata; Mammalia; Chiroptera; Vespertilionidae
Exons: 4
Source: RefSeq, a predicted model, not a curated record